AGCUGGGCCAGGCAAGUGUAUUCAGGGUGAACUCCGCCAGGUCGGGAACGAAGCAACGGUAGCUUUUGUUGCAUUGUGUCUGUGUUCAGCUACU
This 94-nucleotide signal recognition particle RNA is filed under the name Bacteriovorax sp. Seq25_V. Its description in RNAcentral is "Bacterial small signal recognition particle RNA". It matches the Rfam family "Bacterial small signal recognition particle RNA". Rfam says of the family: The signal recognition particle (SRP) is a universally conserved ribonucleoprotein involved in the co-translational targeting of proteins to membranes. Archaeal SRP consists of a 7S RNA and homologues of the eukaryotic SRP19 and SRP54 proteins. The record is from Rfam by way of RNAcentral. Lineage: Bacteria; Pseudomonadati; Bdellovibrionota; Bacteriovoracia; Bacteriovoracales; Bacteriovoracaceae.